GAGCAGGGCUUUACGUCGACGUUGACGUGAGUGGCACGCAGGGUUCAGGAAGCCACUUGCAGGGCUUCGCGGUGAAGGCGGCCUCUAGACAAGCUCCAGCAUUGGGCGAAAGCUGUUGGUGAGGCUCUUCAGGGGGAUGAGACUGCCAGUGGUGCUGCGCACAGACUGGUAGGUCUGAAUAAAGAAUUUCAUAUCUCUUUGUUUCAUUAUCAUUACAAGAAGACAUAAGUGAAAGAAUAUGAACUGUCAACUUUCCAUAAUCGCACCAACGGUGAGGAGUUAUUAUGAAAAAAGACUUUUUGGAUUCAGAAAAUUGGUAAAAAAGACACUCUAUAUUCCCUGAAGGGGAUAAUGUAGGAAAGAGGAAGAGGAGAUGAAUAAAAGGAAAGCAAAAGGAAAAAAAGUUAAAAAAGAGUAACAUUGUAUUUUAUAAGUAUGAAUAAAUAUUUGAAAUAUUUAAAUAUACACAAACAUUUUAUAUAGAUACAGUUUUAUCAAAACUAAAAUGC
Long non-coding RNA from Prionailurus viverrinus (fishing cat), 509 nucleotides. RefSeq lists it as uncharacterized. Lineage: Eukaryota; Metazoa; Chordata; Mammalia; Carnivora; Felidae. The transcript is spliced from 4 exons. The record is from RefSeq and is a predicted model, not a curated record.